GCACCUGUCCAGCCCACUGGCUUCAGGUGCCGUGGCCAACAAGCUAUGCCAGAGUUUCCAGACCUUCAGCAUCUGCUAUGCAGAGACGGGCUUGCUGGGUGCACACUUUGUCUGUGACCGAAUGAAAAUCGAUGACAUGAUGUUCGUCCUGCAAGGGCAGUGGAUGCGCCUGUGUACCAGUGCCACGGAGAGUGAGGUGGCCCGGGGCAAAAACAUCCUCAGAAAUGCCCUGGUAUCUCAUCUAGAUGGCACUACUCCUGUGUGUGAGGACAUCGGACGCAGCCUCCUGACCUAUGGCCGCCGCAUCCCCCUGGCUGAAUGGGAAAGCCGGAUUGCGGAGGUGGAUGCCACUGUGGUGCGUGAGAUCUGCUCCAAGUACAUCUAUGACCAGUGCCCAGCAGUGGCUGGAUAUGGUAAGUGGCCUAGGGGGUCUGCUCUUUGUUUAUUUCCUCAGGCCAUUCUCUUGGCCUCCCCUUCCGCCUCUGCUCCCGCACUGCUGCUCAGCUUACAGAGCAGCCAGUUAAGGCCCCAAGCAGCUCUCCCCAGUCCCCUGGCUGCCAGGGAGUUCUUGCUCAGAAAACCUGUCCCGGCAGUUCCUUGACUGCCUGCCAAUGUGCCUUCACCAAUACCCUGCACCCGUCAGGUAACGGGCACCUCCAUGUGGGGUGGGGCUUCAAGGGCCAGAACAUGAAGGGACAGGCUCAGCACCCCUCGGGGAAUGUUCUCUUCCCUCUUUCUACUCAAAGCCUGUCUUGUGCUGCUCUGGGCAGCAUCUCCGAGCUGGGUGCGGCACAGGGCCAGGUGUCCCUGUACAGGCCAGGUACCCCACCCUGACGCUCCACCCUAUCCUCACAGGCCCCAUUGAGCAGCUCCCAGACUACAACCGGAUCCGUAGCGGCAUGUUCUGGCUGCGCUUCUAGGCGGGAAGCCUGUGUAAGCAAGAGGGCGGGGCUGGGGUUCGUGGUCCCCCCACAAACACAGCACUCCAGCUCCUCUAACUUGUGCCAC
RNAcentral lists this small RNA (1008 nucleotides) under Pongo abelii (Sumatran orangutan). Its description in RNAcentral is "retained intron". Lineage: Eukaryota; Metazoa; Chordata; Mammalia; Primates; Hominidae. The record is from RNAcentral.